AAAACUCUAAGCGGUGGAUCACUCGGCUCAUGGGUCGAUGAAGAACGCAGCAAACUGUGCGUCAUCGUGUGAACUGCAGGACACAUGAACAUCGACAUUUUGAACGCAUAUCGCAGUCCAUGCUGUUAUGUACUUUAAUUAAUUUUAUAGUGCUGCUUGGACUACAUAUGGUUGAGGGUUGUAAGACUAUGCUAAUUAAGUUGCUUAUAAAUUUUUAUAAGCAUAUGGUAUAUUAUUGGAUAAAUAUAAUAAUUUUUAUUCAUAAUAUUAAAAAAUAAAUGAAAAACAUUAUCUCACAUUUGAAUGUGAAAAACGAAGAGAAAUAUUUUCUUUUUCAAUCAAAUAAUACUGAGAAAUGUCUAGCAUAAAAAAUUGAAAUAUUUUUCAUCUAGAAUUGUCUCUUAUUAAUGAUUCGGAAAUAGAAAAAUCUUGGUUAUGUUAUUAUUCUUCGUCGGUUCGUUAAAAAUGGAUAAAUAAAAACUUUGCAUACAAGAAUUAAUAAAAAUGUUAUAACGAAUUUAAUUAAAUGUUUUAUCAUUAUAUAUAAAGAAUUUAUGGCAAGAUAAAGUUAUAUACAACCUCAACUCAUAUGGGACUACCCCCUGAAUUUAAGCAUAUUAAUUAGGGGAGGAAAAGAAACUAACAAGGAUUUUCUUAGUAUUGGCGAGCGAAAAGAAAACAGUUCAGCACUAAGUCACUUUGUCUAUAUGGCAAAUGUGAGAUGCAGUGUAUGGAGCGUCAAUAUUCUAGUAUGAGAAAUUAACGAUUUAAGUCCUUCUUAAAUGAGGCCAUUUACCCAUAGAGGGUGCCAGGCCCGUAUAACGUUAAUGAUUACUAGAUGAUGUUUCCAAAGAGUCGUGUUGCUUGAUAGUGCAGCACUAAGUGGGUGGUAAACUCCAUCUAAAACUAAAUAUAACCAUGAGACCGAUAGUAAACAAGUACCGUGAGGGAAAGUUGAAAAGAACUCUGAAUAGAGAGUUAAACAGUACGUGAAACUGCUUAGAGGUUAAGCCCGAUGAACCUGAAUAUCCGUUAUGGAAAAUUCAUCAUUAAAAUUGUAAUAUUUAAAUAAUAUUAUGAGAAUAGUGUGCAUUUUUUCCAUAUAAGGACAUUGUAAUCUAUUAGCAUAUACCAAAUUUAUCAUAAAAUAUAACUUAUAGUUUAUUCCAAUUAAAUUGCUUGCAUUUUAACACAGAAUAAAUGUUAUUAAUUUGAUAAAGUGCUGAUAGAUUACAGUGCGUUAAUUUUUCGGAAUUAUAUAAUGGCAUAAUUAUCAUUGAUUUUUGUGUUUAUUAUAUGCACUUGUAUGAUUAACAAUGCGAAAGAUUCAGGAUACCUUCGGGACCCGUCUUGAAACACGGACCAAGGAGUCUAACAUAUGUGCAAGUUAUUGGGAUAUAAACCUAAUAGCGUAAUUAACUUGACUAAUAAUGGGAUUAGUUUUUUAGCUAUUUAUAGCUAAUUAACACAAUCCCGGGGCGUUCUAUAUAGUUAUGUAUAAUGUAUAUUUAUAUUAUUUAUGCCUCUAACUGGAACGUACCUUGAGCAUAUAUGCUGUGACCCGAAAGAUGGUGAACUAUACUUGAUCAGGUUGAAGUCAGGGGAAACCCUGAUGGAAGACCGAAACAGUUCUGACGUGCAAAUCGAUUGUCAGAAUUGAGUAUAGGGGCGAAAGACCAAUCGAACCAUCUAGUAGCUGGUUCCUUCCGAAGUUUCCCUCAGGAUAGCUGGUGCAUUUUUAAUAUUAUAUAAAAUAAUCUUAUCUGGUAAAGCGAAUGAUUAGAGGCCUUAGGGUCGAAACGAUCUUAACCUAUUCUCAAACUUUAAAUGGGUAAGAACCUUAACUUUCUUGAUAUGAAGUUCAAGGUUAUGAUAUAAUGUGCCCAGUGGGCCACUUUUGGUAAGCAGAACUGGCGCUGUGGGAUGAACAAACGUAAUGUUACGGUGCCCAAAUUAACAACUCAUGCAGAUACCAUGAAAGGCGUUGGUUGCUUAAAACAGCAGGACGGUGAUCAAUGGAAGUCGAAAUCCGCUAAGGAGUGUGUAACAACUCACCUGCCGAAGCAACUAGCCCUUAAAAUGGAUGGCGCUUAAGUUGUAUACCUAUACAUUACCGCUAAAGUAGAUGAUUUAUAUUACUUGUGAUAUAAAUUUUGAAACUUUAGUGAGUAGGAAGGUACAAUGGUAUGCGUAGAAGUGUUUGGCGUAAGCCUGCAUGGAGCUGCCAUUGGUACAGAUCUUGGUGGUAGUAGCAAAUAAUCGAAUGAGACCUUGGAGGACUGAAGUGGAGAAGGGUUUCGUGUGAACAGUGGUUGAUCACGAGUUAGUCGGUCCUAAGUUCAAGGCGAAAGCCGAAAAUUUUCAAGUAAAACAAAAAUGCCUAACUAUAUAAACAAAGCGAAUUAUAAUACACUUGAAUAAUUUUGAACGAAAGGGAAUACGGUUCCAAUUCCGUAACCUGUUGAGUAUCCGUUUGUUAUUAAAUAUGGGCCUCGUGCUCAUCCUGGCAACAGGAACGACCAUAAAGAAGCCGUCGAGAGAUAUCGGAAGAGUUUUCUUUUCUGUUUUAUAGCCGUACUACCAUGGAAGUCUUUCGCAGAGAGAUAUGGUAGAUGGGCUAGAAGAGCAUGACAUAUACUGUUGUGUCGAUAUUUUCUCCUCGGACCUUGAAAAUUUAUGGUGGGGACACGCAACUUCUCAACAGGCCGUACCAAUAUCCGCAGCUGGUCUCCAAGGUGAAGAGUCUCUAGUCCGAUAGAAUAAUGUAGGUAAGGGAAGUCGGCAAAUUAGAUCCGUAACUUCGGGAUAAGGAUUGGCUCUGAAGAUUGAGAUAGUCGGGCUUGAUUGGGAAACAAUAACAUGGUUUAUGUGCUCGUUCUGGGUAAAUAGAGUUUCUAGCAUUUAUGUUAGUUACUUGUUCCCCGGAUAGUUUAGUUACGUAGCCAAUUGUGGAACUUUCUUGCUAAAAUUUUUAAGAAUACUAUUUGGGUUAAACCAAUUAGUUCUUAUUAAUUAUAACGAUUAUCAAUUAACAAUCAAUUCAGAACUGGCACGGACUUGGGGAAUCCGACUGUCUAAUUAAAACAAAGCAUUGUGAUGGCCCUAGCGGGUGUUGACACAAUGUGAUUUCUGCCCAGUGCUCUGAAUGUCAAAGUGAAGAAUCAUGGGGUAUUGGAGAGCAGAGGGGGAGUAUUCUUCUGUAAUUCGUAAGUCAUAUCAUAUGAUGUGCGGAAGGGGAAUUUUACUCUGUAACUCACAAGUCUCUCCUUUACUCAAGUCGACUCAAAACUCCUCGUGGUGGUCCCCGGUAAUGCUAAACUCGUUUAGCAGCUAAUUUGAGCGGCAAAACUUUUCCGAUGGCUGGUUCCCAGAGGAAAUUUAUUCAUAUUGGAACUACAAGCACAAAUAACGAGCCUCGAAUACCUUUACACAAUCUGAUGACGACCCGACCCUCCGUGGAUAUCUUCCCGGAGGACCAAUAUGAACCAAACGCAGCGGCUACUCUAUCUAGGGUUCCCUGCACAGUAUGUGGCCGGUCCUUAACAGCAAGAGAGGACUCGGUGUUCACAUGCGAUCUCGGCACCCAGACGAACUUGAUGAAGAACGUCGACGUGUCGAUAUAAGCAAGAUGGAGUGAUGAAGAAGUGGAUGAUGGCGAGAAAGGAGUUGAGUCACAGAAAUGGAUGUAAACAAUAAACAAGCUAGCGGUGUAUUUUGCAAACCGCAGCGUCGAAGCCAUCAAAAGCUAGACAGAGGGGCGAUUAUAAGGAGAAAAUAGAGCAGAUAAGAGGCAAUCAGCUUCGCCCGGAAUUGUAAUCUAAACCAUAAGGCGCCGCCCUAGUAGAAGUGAGCAAGCACCAAGUAACAACAUCGGAAACAACUCCAAAUCACUCCCUUCGAACAGUCGAACAGGGAAAUUU
Molecule: ribosomal RNA, 3920 nt
Filed under: Drosophila melanogaster (fruit fly)
Lineage: Eukaryota; Metazoa; Arthropoda; Insecta; Diptera; Drosophilidae
Description: eukaryotic LSU rRNA
Rfam family: Eukaryotic large subunit ribosomal RNA (bases 576-3920)
Source: RNAcentral